UGGGGAAUAUUGGACAAUGGGGGCAACCCUGAUCCAGCAAUGCCGCGUGUGUGAAGAAGGUUUUCGGAUUGUAAAGCACUUUCGACGGGGACGAUGAUGACGGUACCCGUAGAAGAAGCCCCGGCUAACUUCGUGCCAGCAGCCGCGGUAAUACGAAGGGGGCUAGCGUUGCUCGGAAUGACUGGGCGUAAAGGGCGUGUAGGCGGUUUGUACAGUCAGAUGUGAAAUCCCCGGGCUUAACCUGGGAGCUGCAUUUGAUACGUGCAGACUAGAGUGUGAGAGAGGGUUGUGGAAUUCCCAGUGUAGAGGUGAAAUUCGUAGAUAUUGGGAAGAACACCGGUGGCGAAGGCGGCAACCUGGCUCAUAACUGACGCUGAGGCGCGAAAGCGUGGGGAGCAAAACAGGAUU
This 408-nucleotide ribosomal RNA is filed under the name uncultured bacterium. Its description in RNAcentral is "partial 16S ribosomal RNA". It matches the Rfam family "Bacterial small subunit ribosomal RNA", at positions 355 to 779 of the family's 1533-position model. The record is from RNAcentral.